ACGGGGACCCGCACAAGCGGUGGAUGAUGUGGUUUAAUUCGAUGCAACGCGAAAAACCUUACCCACCUUUGACAUGGCAGGAAUCCCGAAGAGAUUUGGGAGUGCUCGAAAGAGAACCUGCACACAGGUGCUGCAUGGCUGUCGUCAGCUCGUGUCGUGAGAUGUUGGGUUAAGUCCCGCAACGAGCGCAACCCUUGCCAUUAGUUGCUACGAAAGGGCACUCUAAUGGGACUGCCGGUGACAAACCGGAGGAAGGUGGGGAUGACGUCAAGUCCUCAUGGCCCUUAUAGGUGGGGCUACACACGUCAUACAAUGGCCGGUACAGAGGGUAGCCAACCCGCGAGGGGGAGCCAAUCCCACAAAGCCGGUCGUAGUCCGGAUCGCAGUCUGCAACUCGACUGCGUGAAGUCGGAAUCGCUAGUAAUCGCGGAUCAGCAUGUCGCGGUGAAUACGUUCCCGGGUCUU
RNAcentral lists this ribosomal RNA (465 nucleotides) under uncultured Allobrachymonas sp. RNAcentral describes it as "bacterial SSU rRNA". It matches the Rfam family "Bacterial small subunit ribosomal RNA", at positions 913 to 1382 of the family's 1533-position model. The record is from RNAcentral. Lineage: Bacteria; Pseudomonadati; Pseudomonadota; Betaproteobacteria; Burkholderiales; Comamonadaceae.